UGGGCGGGACGGGGUGAGUAAUGUCUGGGAAACUGCCCGAUGGAGGGGGAUAACUACUGGAAACGGUAGCUAAUACCGCAUAACGUCGCAAGACCAAAGAGGGGGACCUUCGGGCCUCUUGCCAUCGGAUGUGCCCAGAUGGGAUUAGCUAGUAGGUGGGGUAACGGCUCACCUAGGCGACGAUCCCUAGCUGGUCUGAGGGGAUGACCAGCCACACUGGAACUGAGACACGGUCCAG
This 238-nucleotide ribosomal RNA is filed under the name uncultured bacterium. RNAcentral describes it as "partial 16S ribosomal RNA". It matches the Rfam family "Bacterial small subunit ribosomal RNA", at positions 104 to 334 of the family's 1533-position model. The record is from RNAcentral.